UAGGAGGUGGUGUAAUGGAAGCACUAGGAGUUUUGAUCUCCUGAGCAUGGGUUCAAUCCCCUUUCUCCUAA
This 71-nucleotide transfer RNA is filed under the name Gymnothorax rueppelliae (banded moray). Its description in RNAcentral is "tRNA-Gln". It matches the Rfam family "tRNA". From Rfam's summary of the family: Transfer RNA (tRNA) molecules are approximately 80 nucleotides in length. Their secondary structure includes four short double-helical elements and three loops (D, anti-codon, and T loops). Lineage: Eukaryota; Metazoa; Chordata; Actinopteri; Anguilliformes; Muraenidae. The record is from RNAcentral.